CCAAGAUGACCCAGUGGCAUCUCCACUACGUGCUGGAGACUGAGAGGCUCAGGACAGUGCCUGAAGUUCAUUCACCCUCAGGCUACGUCUUCAGGGACUCUGAUCUGCUACUAAAACCAAGCCCCAGGGAGUGAAGGUCCCUGCCAUGUCAUCCCUCUGAUCUCCUCCCUGUGAGGGCAAAGAAAACUACUGGGUGUUGAUCAUCCAGCACCGGUAGAACCUGCAGUCAGCUCUUAGACUCCAGUAUAAUUGUGAAGUGUGCUGCAGCAAACAGAAAAAUAAGUCAAUGCAGAGCUUCCAACACCAUCAGCUCACUGUGGUUCUGCCUUCAUGGGCCAGUAACUCAGCCAAAGCCUGGAGAUUCUGGAAACUGCCUCCAUUGCCUUUGCUGUCCCUGCCCCUCUGCUGGAAGUCGCCCACAGGUGCCAGCUGGG
This 434-nucleotide long non-coding RNA is filed under the name Homo sapiens (human). RNAcentral's name for it is "non-protein coding lnc-PRDM11-2:1". The record is from RNAcentral. Lineage: Eukaryota; Metazoa; Chordata; Mammalia; Primates; Hominidae.